Molecule: ribosomal RNA, 1232 nt
Filed under: Aeluropoda insignis
Lineage: Eukaryota; Metazoa; Arthropoda; Insecta; Blattodea; Blaberidae
Description: 16S ribosomal RNA
Rfam family: Archaeal large subunit ribosomal RNA (bases 508-1232)
Source: RNAcentral
AGUCAUUGUUUUUUUUGUAGGUUUGGUUAAGAAAUCAUUUAUUAAGUUAUUGUAUUAGAUAUAGAUUUAAUUGAUUGAUUGGGGUUAGUACUGUAAAGGGUUUAAUAUUAGUGUAUUAUAGGAUAAGUUGUAUUGGUUCUAUGUACCUUGUGUAUCAGGGUUGAUUAAAUAGGAUAUAUUUAUUUAUUAUUCUCGAUUUUUUUGGAGUUAAUGACUUAUAUUUAUUAUUGUGUUAUAAAUACAGAUAAUGAGUUGUUAGUGGUGAAAUAUCAUUCGUUGAAAAAGGUAUCUAGUUUCUUGGGAAAUUAAUUCAAUUAAUAUUUUUUCUUUAAUGACUUUAAUUGAUAGAAUGCUUUAAGAGAAAAUUAUUAAUAAAGGGGAUAAGCUUUUUAUUAGAGGUUUAUAAGGUAAAUUUAUUGGUACAUUUUAUAGAUUUAAAAUUGGUCACUAAUUGAAGUAUAUUAAAAUUUUAUGUGGUAGCGAAUUGAUUUAUUAGCCUUUAAUGAUUUACUGAGAUAUACUAGUAAUUUUUGUAAUAGUAAUAAUAAUGAUAAAAUUAGUAAAGAAAAGUUGAUGGGGUAUUUUAAUGAUAAAUUGGGAUGAGGAAUUCGGCAAUAGCUUAUUCGCCUGUUUAACAAAAACAUCUCUUCUUGGAUUGUUUAGGAAGUAUAACCUGCCCAAUGAAUAUAUUUAAUGGCCGCGGUACCUUGACCGUGCAAAGGUAGCAUAAUCAUUAGUCUUUUAAUUGAAGGCUGGAAUGAAUGGUUGGACGAGAUAAGUACUUUCUUAUUCUAAAAAAUUGAACUUAAUUAUUGAGUUAAAAAGCUUAAAUUUUUUUAUGGGACGAGAAGACCCUAUAGAGUUUAAUGAUUAUAAAUUGAUAAUAGUAUGUAAAGGAUUUUGAUUAAUAAUUAUUUUGUUGGGGUGACAGAAAGAUAAGUGUAACUCUUUUUCUAUUGUGAAUAUUAAUUUAUAAGUUUUUGAUCCAUUAUUAGUGAUUAAGAGACUAAAUUACCUUAGGGAUAACAGCGUAAUCUUUUCUGAGAGUUCUAAUCGAGGAUAAGGAUUGCGACCUCGAUGUUGGAUUAAAGAUUAGACUUAGGUGUAGCAGUUUAAGUUCUAGGUCUGUUCGACCUUUAAAUUCUUACAUGAUCUGAGUUCAAACCGGCGUGAGCCAGGUUGGUUUCUAUCUAUUAACAUAUUAGAUGCUUUAGUACGAAAGGACCAAGUAU